Molecule: ribosomal RNA, 497 nt
Filed under: uncultured bacterium
Lineage: Bacteria
Description: partial 16S ribosomal RNA
Rfam family: Bacterial small subunit ribosomal RNA
Source: RNAcentral
GAUGAACGCUGGCGGCGUGCCUAAUACAUGCAAGUCGAGCGAACGGACGAGAAGCUUGCUUCUCUGAUGUUAGCGGCGGACGGGUGAGUAACACGUGGAUAACCUACCUAUAAGACUGGGAUAACUUCGGGAAACCGGAGCUAAUACCGGAUAAUAUUUUGAACCGCAUGGUUCAAAAGUGAAAGACGGUCUUGCUGUCACUUAUAGAUGGAUCCGCGCUGCAUUAGCUAGUUGGUAAGGUAACGGCUUACCAAGGCAACGAUGCAUAGCCGACCUGAGAGGGUGAUCGGCCACCCUGCAACUGAGACACGGUCCAGACUCCUACGGGAGGCAGCAGUAGGGAAUCUUCCGCAAUGGGCGAAAGCCUGACGGAGCAACGCCGCGUGAGUGAUGAAGGUCUUCGGAUCGUAAAACUCUGUUAUUAGGGAAGAACAUAUGUGUAAGUAACUGUGCACAUCUUGACGGUACCUAAUCAGAAAGCCACGGCUAACUACGUG